UUGGGCGUAAAGCGAGCGCAGGCGGUUUCUUAAGUCUGAUGUGAAAGCUUUCGGCUCAACCGAAGAAGUGCAUCGGAAACUGGGAAACUUGAGUGCAGAAGAGGACAGUGGAACUCCAUGUGUAGCGGUGAAAUGCGUAGAUAUAUGGAAGAACACCAGUGGCGAAGGCGGCUGUCUGGUCUGUAACUGACGCUGAGGCUCGAAAGCAUGGGUAGCAAACAGGAUUAGAUACCCUGGUAGUCCAUGCCGUAAACGAUGAGUGCUAGGUGUUGGAGGGUUUCCGCCCUUCAGUGCCGCAGCUAACGCAUUAAGCACUCCGCCUGGGGAGUACGACCGCAAGGUUGAAACUCAAAGGAAUUGACGGGGGCCCGCACAAGCGGUGGAGCAUGUGGUUUAAUUCGAAGCAACGCGAAGAACCUUACCAGGUCUUGACAUCCUUUGACCACUCUAGAGAUAGAGCUUUCCCUUCGGGGACAAAGUGACAGGUGGUGCAUGGUUGUCGUCAGCUCGUGUCGUGAGAUGUUGGGUUAAGUCCCGCAACGAGCGCAACCCUUAUUACUAGUUGCCAGCAUUUAGUUGGGCACUCUAGUGAGACUGCCGGUGACAAACCGGAGGAAGGUGGGGACGACGUCAAAUCAUCAUGCCCCUUAUGACCUGGGCUACACACGUGCUACAAUGGAUGGUACAACGAGUUGCGAGACCGCGAGGUUUAGCUAAUCUCUUAAAACCAUUCUCAGUUCGGAUUGUAGGCUGCAACUCGCCUACAUGAAGCCGGAAUCGC
RNAcentral lists this ribosomal RNA (781 nucleotides) under Latilactobacillus sakei. RNAcentral describes it as "bacterial SSU rRNA". It matches the Rfam family "Bacterial small subunit ribosomal RNA", at positions 554 to 1335 of the family's 1533-position model. The record is from RNAcentral. Lineage: Bacteria; Bacillati; Bacillota; Bacilli; Lactobacillales; Lactobacillaceae.